Molecule: ribosomal RNA, 868 nt
Filed under: Enterococcus gallinarum
Lineage: Bacteria; Bacillati; Bacillota; Bacilli; Lactobacillales; Enterococcaceae
Description: bacterial SSU rRNA
Rfam family: Bacterial small subunit ribosomal RNA
Source: RNAcentral
CUUUCACCGGAGCUUGCUCCAUCGAAAGAAAAAGAGUGGCGAACGGGUGAGUAACACGUGGGUAACCUGCCCAUCAGAAGGGGAUAACACUUGGAAACAGGUGCUAAUACCGUAUAACACUAUUUUCCGCAUGGAAGAAAGUUGAAAGGCGCUUUUGCGUCACUGAUGGAUGGACCCGCGGUGCAUUAGCUAGUUGGUGAGGUAACGGCUCACCAAGGCAACGAUGCAUAGCCGACCUGAGAGGGUGAUCGGCCACACUGGGACUGAGACACGGCCCAGACUCCUACGGGAGGCAGCAGUAGGGAAUCUUCGGCAAUGGACGAAAGUCUGACCGAGCAACGCCGCGUGAGUGAAGAAGGUUUUCGGAUCGUAAAACUCUGUUGUUAGAGAAGAACAAGGAUGAGAGUAAAAUGUUCAUCCCUUGACGGUAUCUAACCAGAAAGCCACGGCUAACUACGUGCCAGCAGCCGCGGUAAUACGUAGGUGGCAAGCGUUGUCCGGAUUUAUUGGGCGUAAAGCGAGCGCAGGCGGUUUCUUAAGUCUGAUGUGAAAGCCCCCGGCUCAACCGGGGAGGGUCAUUGGAAACUGGGAGACUUGAGUGCAGAAGAGGAGAGUGGAAUUCCAUGUGUAGCGGUGAAAUGCGUAGAUAUAUGGAGGAACACCAGUGGCGAAGGCGGCUCUCUGGUCUGUAACUGACGCUGAGGCUCGAAAGCGUGGGGAGCGAACAGGAUUAGAUACCCUGGUAGUCCACGCCGUAAACGAUGAGUGCUAAGUGUUGGAGGGUUUCCGCCCUUCAGUGCUGCAGCAAACGCAUUAAGCACUCCGCCUGGGGGAGUACGACCGCAAGGUUGAAACUCAAAGGAAUUGA